RNAcentral lists this microRNA (21 nucleotides) under Amphimedon queenslandica. RNAcentral's name for it is "aqu-miR-2020-5p". The record is from miRBase by way of RNAcentral. Lineage: Eukaryota; Metazoa; Porifera; Demospongiae; Haplosclerida; Niphatidae.
UGGGUAGUGUGUCUUUUCGGA